RNAcentral lists this ribosomal RNA (492 nucleotides) under uncultured bacterium. Its description in RNAcentral is "partial 16S ribosomal RNA". It matches the Rfam family "Bacterial small subunit ribosomal RNA", at positions 29 to 507 of the family's 1533-position model. The record is from RNAcentral.
AGUGAACGCUGGCGGUAGGCCUAACACAUGCAAGUCGAACGGCAGCACAGUAAGAGCUUGCUCUUACGGGUGGCGAGUGGCGGACGGGUGAGGAAUACAUCGGAAUCUACUUUUUCGUGGGGGAUAACGUAGGGAAACUUACGCUAAUACCGCAUACGACCUACGGGUGAAAGCAGGGGAUCUUCGGACCUUGCGCGAUUGAAUGAGCCGAUGUCGGAUUAGCUAGUUGGCGGGGUAAAGGCCCACCAAGGCGACGAUCCGUAGCUGGUCUGAGAGGAUGAUCAGCCACACUGGAACUGAGACACGGUACAGACUCCUACGGGAGGCAGCAGUGGGGAAUAUUGGACAAUGGGCGCAAGCCUGAUCCAGCCAUACCGCGUGGGUGAAGAAGGCCUUCGGGUUGUAAAGCCCUUUUGUUGGGAAAGAAAGGCAGCAGGUUAAUACCCCGCUGUUCUGACGGUACCCAAAGAAUAAGCACCGGCUAACUUCGUG